UACGUAGGGUGCUAGCGUUGUCCGGAUUUAUUGGGCGUAAAGAGCUCGUAGGCGGUCUGUCGCGUCGGCUGUGAAAACCCGGGGCUCAACCCCGGGCCUGCAGUCGAUACGGGCAGACUAGAGUGCGGUAGGGGAGACUGGAAUUCCUGGUGUAGCGGUGAAAUGCGCAGAUAUCAGGAGGAACACCGGUGGCGAAGGCGGGUCUCUGGGCCGUAACUGACGCUGAGGAGCGAAAGCGUGGGGAGCGAACAGG
RNAcentral lists this ribosomal RNA (253 nucleotides) under uncultured bacterium. RNAcentral describes it as "partial 16S ribosomal RNA". It matches the Rfam family "Bacterial small subunit ribosomal RNA", at positions 524 to 776 of the family's 1533-position model. The record is from RNAcentral.